AUUGAACGCUGGCGGCAGGCCUAACACAUGCAAGUCGAGCGGCAGCACGGGUACUUGUUCCUGGUGGCGAGCGGCGGACGGGUGAGUAAUGCCUAGGACUCUGCCUCGUAGUGGGGGAUAACGUCCGGAAACGGGCCCUAAUACCGCAUACGUCCUACGGGAGAAAGUGGGGGAUCUUCGGACAUCACGCUAUUAGAUGAGCCUAGGUCGGAUUAGCUAGUUGGUGAGGUAAUGGCUCACCAAGGCGACGAUCCGUAACUGGUCUGAGAGGAUGAUCAGUCACACUGGAACUGAGACACAGUCCAGACUACUACGGGAGGCAGCAGUGGGGAAUAUUGGACAAUGGGCGAAAGCCUGAUCCAGCCAUGCCGCGUGUGUGAAGAAGGUCUUCGGAUUGUGAAGCACUUUAAGUUGGGAGGAAGGGCAGUUACCUAAUACGUGAUUGUUUUGACGUUACCGACAGAAUAAGCACCGGCUAACUCUGUGCCAGCCGCCGCCGUAAAAC
RNAcentral lists this ribosomal RNA (505 nucleotides) under uncultured bacterium. RNAcentral describes it as "bacterial SSU rRNA". It matches the Rfam family "Bacterial small subunit ribosomal RNA", at positions 30 to 526 of the family's 1533-position model. The record is from RNAcentral.